GCACUGCUGAGGAGUCCCAUCACAGGACGAAACGGCUGUCCAGUAC
Non-coding RNA from Schistosoma mansoni, 46 nucleotides. NCBI's taxonomy places the organism in Eukaryota, Metazoa, Platyhelminthes, Trematoda, Strigeidida, Schistosomatidae. The record is from Rfam.